RNAcentral lists this long non-coding RNA (355 nucleotides) under Pogona vitticeps (central bearded dragon). RNAcentral describes it as "lncRNA (ENSPVIG00000015289.1)". The record is from RNAcentral. Lineage: Eukaryota; Metazoa; Chordata; Lepidosauria; Squamata; Agamidae.
GUUUUGGCUUAUCCAACAAAUGCUUCUGAGAGGUGUAACACAUUUAUUUUUAUUCCCUGGCAAAAAGAAUGGAAGCCUGAGUUAUGAAAUGAGUUUAAUGGGCAAUGAAAUACACUCUCAGAUGGCCAGCUACAACAGGUCUUAAGAACAAACAUCUCUAUGUAUUGUGAAAGAUCUUGGUUGGGGAGCCCCGAAGACCUGUAGAAUUACACCUACAUAUCAGAUUGCCACAGCACAAGCAGAGACGAGGAAAAUCUAAACAUCCUUUCUGUAAAGGUAAGAACUUUUCAUAGAUAGAUAAUUAAGUUAACAAUCCAACCUUAUUUAACAGAAAUAAAUGCCAUUAUGUAAGUCA